GACGAACGCUGGCGGCGUGCCUAAUACAUGCAAGUUGAGCGCUGAAGGUUGGUACUUGUACCGACUGGAUGAGCAGCGAACGGGUGAGUAACGCGUGGGGAAUCUGCCUUUGAGCGGGGGGCAACAUUUGGAAACGAAUGCUAAUACCGCAUAACAACUUUAAACACAAGUUUUAAGUUUGAAAGAUGCAAUUGCAUCACUCAAAGAUGAUCCCGCGUUGUAUUAGCUAGUUGGUGAGGUAAAGGCUCACCAAGGCGAUGAUACAUAGCCGACCUGAGAGGGGGAUCGGCCACAUUGGGACUGAGACACGGCCCAAACUCCUACGGGAGGCAGCAGUAGGGAAUCUUCGGCAAUGGACGAAAGUCUGACCGAGCAACGCCGCGUGAGUGAAGAAGGUUUUCGGAUCGUAAAACUCUGUUGGUAGAGAAGAACGUUGGUGAGAGUGGAAAGCUCAUCAAGUGACGGUAACUACCCAGAAAGGGACGGCUAACUACGUGCCAGCCGCCGCCGUAA
This 513-nucleotide ribosomal RNA is filed under the name uncultured bacterium. Its description in RNAcentral is "partial 16S ribosomal RNA". It matches the Rfam family "Bacterial small subunit ribosomal RNA", at positions 28 to 523 of the family's 1533-position model. The record is from RNAcentral.